RNAcentral lists this ribosomal RNA (1100 nucleotides) under Candidatus Dojkabacteria bacterium. RNAcentral's name for it is "bacterial SSU rRNA". It matches the Rfam family "Bacterial small subunit ribosomal RNA", at positions 1 to 1110 of the family's 1533-position model. The record is from RNAcentral.
UUUAUGGAGAGUUUGAUCCUGGCUCAGGAUUAACGCUAGCGGCGUGCCUAAGGUAUGCAAGUUGAAUGCUGAUUUACAAGCAUGGCAGACGGCUGAGUAACGCGUGCGACCCGCCCCAAACUCGGGGGAUAGCCCACCGAAAGGUGGUGUAAUACCCGAUAGUCCUUCCGAGGUAAAGCUCCGGCGGUUUAGGAUGAGCUUGCGUUCUAUCAGGUAGUUGGUGGGGUAAAUGCCUACCAAGCCUAUGACGGAUAGCUGGUCUGAGAGGACGAACAGCCAGACUGGGACUGCGAUACGGCCCAGACUCCUACGGGAGGCAGCAACUAGGAAUCAUGCGCAAUGGACGAAAGUCUGACGCUGCGACGCCGCGUGAAGGAUGAAGAUCUUAGGAUUGUAAACUUCUUUUAUAGGUGAACAAGUUCUGAGUGUAACCUAUGAAUAAGUGCCUGCUAACCACGUGCCAGAAGCAUCGGUAAUGCGUGGGGCACAAGCGUUAUCCGGAUUUAUUGGGCGUAAAGAGAUGCGUAGGCGUCUUAGAAAGUUUUGUGUUAAAUCUUCCGGCUCAACCGGAAAAUCGCAUAGAAAACUUCUAGGAUUGAGUUAGGUAGAGAAGAGGGGAAUUCCAGGUGGAGCGGUUAAAUGCGUUGAUAUCUGGAGGAAUACCAAUGGCGAAGGCACCUCUUUGGACCUAUACUGACGCUAAGGCUCGAAAGCGUGGGUAGCAAAACGGAUUAGAUACCCGUGUAGUCCACGCCGUAAACGAUCCCUGUUAGGUGUUUGGUUGUACACUAAGAUUCUCCUCCGGGAGUGUUAAGGUGUCAAUUGAGUGCCGCAGUUAACGCGUUAAGCAGGGCGCCUGGGGAUUACGGCCGCAAGGCUAAAACUCCAAGGAAUUGACGGGGACCCGCACAAGCAGUGGAGCGCCUGGUUUAAUUCGAUGAUCAGCGAAGAACCUCACCUGGGCUUGAACUAUAGCUGCAUGUUUCCAGAAACGGAUCCAGCCUUCGAGGGUGCUAUAGAGGUGCUGCAUGGCUGUCGUCAGCUCGUGUCGUGAGAUGGUAGGGUUAGCAGUCCCACUAACGAGAGCGCAACCCUGGUCC